Molecule: ribosomal RNA, 253 nt
Filed under: uncultured bacterium
Lineage: Bacteria
Description: partial 16S ribosomal RNA
Rfam family: Bacterial small subunit ribosomal RNA
Source: RNAcentral
GACAGAGGGUGCAAACGUUGCUCGGAAUCACUGGGCGUAAAGGGCGUGUAGGCGGGAAGAUAAGUCGGGCGUGAAAUCCCUGGGCUCGACCCAGGAACUGCACUCGAAACUGUUUUUCUUGAGUAUCGGAGAGGAAAGCGGAAUUCCUGGUGUAGCGGUGAAAUGCGCAGAUAUCAGGAGGAACACCAAUGGCGAAGGCAGCUCACUGGGACGGUAUUGACGCUGAGACGCGAAAGCGUGGGGAGCAAACAGG